UACAGAGGGGGCAAGCGUUGUUCGGAAUUACUGGGCGUAAAGCGUGCGCAGGCGGUUCGUUAAGUUCGGUGUGAAAGCCCCGGGCUCAACCUGGGAAUGGCAAUGGAAACUGGCGAGCUUGAGUGUGGCAGAGGGGGGUGGAAUUCCGCGUGUAGCAGUGAAAUGCGUAGAGAUGCGGAGGAACACCGAUGGCGAAGGCAGCCCCCUGGGCCACCACUGACGCUCAGGCACGAAAGCGUGGGGAGCAAACAGG
This 253-nucleotide ribosomal RNA is filed under the name uncultured bacterium. RNAcentral describes it as "partial 16S ribosomal RNA". It matches the Rfam family "Bacterial small subunit ribosomal RNA", at positions 524 to 776 of the family's 1533-position model. The record is from RNAcentral.